Acinonyx jubatus (cheetah) is the source of this 908-nucleotide long non-coding RNA. RefSeq lists it as uncharacterized. The transcript is spliced from 3 exons. The record is from RefSeq and is a predicted model, not a curated record. NCBI's taxonomy places the organism in Eukaryota, Metazoa, Chordata, Mammalia, Carnivora, Felidae.
AGGGAGCAUGUUACGUUAACCGAAUCGAAUAGCAUCUCAGUGGGGAAAAGUCAAGGAAGAGGAAAGGAUAUCAGUGUUGCAUGCACAAAGAGGAAAAGCCAUGUGAACACACAGCAAAAAGGUGGCUGUCUGCAAAUCAAGGAGAGAAGCCUCAGGAGAAACCAAACCUGCCAGAACCUUAAUUUUGGACUUCUAGCCUCCAGAACUUUCCAUCCUCAGGCUCAAGCAGGAAUUUAUUCUGGUUUAGUGAUAUUAUCCUGCCAUCAUCCAGCCGGCUCACAUCCUCUGCACCAUCUGUUUGUGAUAUAUCUUCACUACAGCUUUUGUUACAAGAAGGAAAGUAUUUAGCUGGAGUUAUUUUUUUUCUUUGAUAAGCACAUUGUUAUAACUUCAAAAACCUUGGAGUUACUGUUUAUUUGUUACACAUUCAAAGAUAUUAAUUUAAAAAAAUCUUCAGUGUCAAUGUGGUAAAAGGAAUCACCUACCCUUUCUGUUCUAGGUAUGUAUUUUUCAACAGUAAGCGUUACUAGUAAGUUUUAAUUAAUAUUUGUUUUCUUGUCCUUUCCAACAGUGUAAUAACUGUAUAUAGUCUUUCAAGUCAUUGUUACUAUAACAGACCUCUUUCUAACUAUUAAAUUCCAUAGGGGAAGGGAAGCUGGAUUUGAUUCAGUAAAAACUGAUGAACUAGUAAGGAUGAGAAGAAUACCAUAUUUUAUCUCCCCUGGUAUAAUGAUUAAGUAGAGUUCCUUUUCUUUAACAUUCUCUCAAUUUCCCCAAUUCUUCAUCUGAGUUAAUACACUACCAAAUAACAAUCAGUUAUUUCAUUUGUUUGGGACUUCUCCCAUUUCAUUGAGCCUCAUCUUAAAUUCCAUCCAAUCAAAUUUUUUUUUUCUACCCUGAAAAGAGUG